This 467-nucleotide ribosomal RNA is filed under the name uncultured bacterium. RNAcentral's name for it is "partial 16S ribosomal RNA". It matches the Rfam family "Bacterial small subunit ribosomal RNA", at positions 28 to 507 of the family's 1533-position model. The record is from RNAcentral.
GACGAACGCUGGCGGCGUGCUUAACACAUGCAAGUCGAACGGAAAGGCCUCUUUCGGGGGGUACUCGAGUGGCGAACGGGUGAGUAACACGUGAGUAACCUGCCCUUGACUUUGGGAUAACUUCAGGAAACUGGGGCUAAUACCGGAUAGGUGCUCCUGCUGCAUGGUGGGGGUUGGAAAGUUUCGGCGGUUGGGGAUGGACUCGCGGCUUAUCAGCUUGUUGGUGGGGUAGUGGCUUACCAAGGCUUUGACGGGUAGCCGGCCUGAGGGGGUGACCGGCCACAUUGGGACUGGGAUACGGCCCAGACUCCUACGGGAGGCAGCAGGGGGGAAUAUUGCACAAUUGGUGGGAGCCUGAUGCAGCAACGCCGUGUGCGGGAUGACGGCCUUCGGGUUGUAAACCGCUUUCGCUCAUGACGAAGCUUUGUGUGACGGUAGUGGGUAAAGAAGCACCGGCUAACUACGUG